CCUGAUGUUUCUCUCCUUUCUCUGUUCUUUAAGGAGUCUUCAGGCAUGGCAACACACAGACAGCCACGCAUCCACCCACCACCAGGGAAUGAGGGAGCUGGAAGCUCUGGGACAAGGAGGUGGUGUAAAGACUAAAUAGAAGGUGAGUAAGGUAAGGUUGGAAGUGCCAUGGCAGGGAGGACACAAGGAGGGGUAGGCUGGGCAGGGAGGCGAUGUGGGUAGGGUGGGUUGGGUCUCCAGAUUGGGUUGGGAGCCACGCUGAUGUUCCUCAGGAUCUAAAUCCAGCGCUGCUGGCAUGGGGAGGCCUGAGGGCGCCUGGCCAAGGAGGUGGAAGAGACAGACCUGGAUGAAAACAAGCUGAAAUACAGCGUGUUGAGGCAAGGCUGUGAGAGAGACCCACAACUGCCUUAAGGACCUGCAAACCAGUGAGAUUUCUGAGUUAACAAUUUCUCUGCUGCCACCAGGUGCCUGCGGAGGUCACUGGAAAUUAGCAUGUCCACACCCCAGGAGAGCUCUGACAACCUACUCAGACCACUCUUUGCUUCUCCUUGCUCAGAUGCAGAAGGCUGGCAAUGGUGUAGGCAGUGGAGAUCAAGAUGAUUUGCUGCCACUUCUCAUUAGUUAGUGCCAUCCACCCUGUGUGUUGAGACACAGAAAAAUGUACUGCUUGUUAAUGGCAUUCAGGGCCUGUGUGUCCCUGGGAGUUGUACUUGCAAGGUCUAAAAUUAAACAGCAUGGAUGAUUUUAGUUCUGGGUUUCUUCAGCAGUAUUUUGGGAGAAACCUUAAUAUCCGGUUUUGAACAAGAUUUCUGUGCCUAAUUUCCUGCCUUUACUUCCCUACCACACUCUUUCUGCUGGCUACUUGAGUGGAAAUAUUUCGUCCUGGACUUCCUCCUUCCAACUGUGCCACUCUGCUUUGGAGUAUGAUGGAUUCUCCCUUCUCAGCACCCGAGUCCAGCAAGAAGCAGGAGCAGGGCGGAGGAGACAAGGCAGAGAUGGAAAGCCUAAUCUGUUGCCAAGACCCAUUAUCCUUCGACUUGAGUCAAACAGUGCACCUUGCUUAUUGAAUCAGGGAAUAGUGUGUGUUUUAUGAAGACAGAAAGGAAAAGAGCUGCACAGUCAACUCUUAGAUUUCCUUGGAAAUUUUUCAGCGAGUCAAAAUUUUGUUGGAAACAUCUACGCAGCUUUCAUAAUGCAAGUUACUUGGGCUUUUGAAAUGCCUUGGAUUUGACAGAUUCCUGUGAGCUCAAAGGUGAGCUCCUGCCAGGUUUGGCCAGAGGUAGGAGCUGCCAGACCCUUAACCCUGUGGCAGUUGUGGGGGUAUCCAUGUAGUGCAGGUAGCUCAGGGUGCAGCUUGGAUUGAGCCCUGGGUGAGGACAGCUCGAGGCAAGAGGCUGUGACCUGGUGCUGCCCCUUUGCCCCACAAAGGACAGAAGGAUCUUUGGCUCAGACAGGUGACCCGACACUCAGAUACACAGCAGCAGCUGAGGGCUCAGGUGGAAAACCCCAGCCUCAGGGUAUAAAAGCCCAGUGUUUCCUUUGUUCAGUGUCCCUUCUCCAAGGCAAAAGCUUGAGCUGUUACUCUCUUGCUGCACUAUAUAAAAUUACUUAAAGGAACCAGAGGUCUGAGUCCCUUGGGAAACCUGGGAUUGAACUGCUGAGGAAAUCCUGUCUGUGUGGGAUGUGUACGGAGUCAGGCAGGGCACCUGUUGGGUCACUGGAAGGGGCUCUGGUCCC
RNAcentral lists this long non-coding RNA (1737 nucleotides) under Junco hyemalis (dark-eyed junco). RNAcentral describes it as "lncRNA (ENSJHYG00000013109.1)". The record is from RNAcentral. Lineage: Eukaryota; Metazoa; Chordata; Aves; Passeriformes; Passerellidae.